UGGGGAAUAUUGCACAAUGGGCGCAAGCCUGAUGCAGCCAUGCCGCGUGUGUGAAGAAGGCCUUCGGGUUGUAAAGCACUUUCAGCGGGGAGGAAGGCGAUAAGGUUAAUAACCUUGUCGAUUGACGUUACCCGCAGAAGAAGCACCGGCUAACUCCGUGCCAGCAGCCGCGGUAAUACGGAGGGUGCAAGCGUUAAUCGGAAUUACUGGGCGUAAAGCGCACGCAGGCGGUCUGUCAAGUCGGAUGUGAAAUCCCCGGGCUCAACCUGGGAACUGCAUUCGAAACUGGCAAGCUAGAGUCUUGUAGAGGGGGGUAGAAUUCCAGGUGUAGCGGUGAAAUGCGUAGAGAUCUGGAGGAAUACCGGUGGCGAAGGCGGCCCCCUGGACAAAGACUGACGCUCAGGUGCGAAAGCGUGGGGAGCAAACAGG
This 429-nucleotide ribosomal RNA is filed under the name Chloroflexota bacterium. RNAcentral describes it as "Chloroflexi bacterium partial 16S ribosomal RNA". It matches the Rfam family "Bacterial small subunit ribosomal RNA", at positions 355 to 776 of the family's 1533-position model. Lineage: Bacteria; Bacillati; Chloroflexota. The record is from RNAcentral.